Molecule: small nucleolar RNA, 132 nt
Organism: Cricetulus griseus (Chinese hamster)
Lineage: Eukaryota; Metazoa; Chordata; Mammalia; Rodentia; Cricetidae
Gene: SNORA70
Rfam family: Small nucleolar RNA SNORA70
About the family: snoRNA U70 seems to be exclusive to mammals and is a member of the H/ACA class of snoRNA which contain H (ANANNA) and ACA box motifs.
Source: Ensembl
CUGAAGCCAAUUAAACCAAUUGUGUUCCUCUCCUCAUGGGAAAGUAGAGUGAAAUAAUUGCAAACAGCAGCCUCUUUGGGAAUGUGUGUAGGUUGCCUUUAUGGUUUGCUCUAAGGGACCUUGGAGACAAUU